AGCAGUAGCCACGGGAAUACCGAGGAUGCAAGCGUUAUCCGGAAUGAUUGGGCGUAAAGGGCUCGCAGGCGGUUUCUUAAGUCUGAUGUGAAAGCCCCCGGCUCAACUGGGGAGGGUCAUUGGAAACUGGGAAACUUGAGUGCAGAAGAGGAGAGUGGAAUUCCACGUGUAGCGGUGAAAUGCGUAGAGAUGUGGAGGAACACCAGUGGCGAAGGCGACUCUCUGGUCUGUAACUGACGCUGAGGAGCGAAAGCGUGGGGAGCGAACAGGAUUAGAUACCCGAGUAGUCCCUGUCUCUUAUAA
This 303-nucleotide ribosomal RNA is filed under the name uncultured bacterium. Its description in RNAcentral is "partial 16S ribosomal RNA". It matches the Rfam family "Bacterial small subunit ribosomal RNA", at positions 507 to 809 of the family's 1533-position model. The record is from RNAcentral.